This 110-nucleotide non-coding RNA is filed under the name unclassified sequences. RNAcentral describes it as "Glutamine-II sequence". It matches the Rfam family "Glutamine-II riboswitch aptamer". Rfam says of the family: The major groove of the PK provides the binding site for L-glutamine The record is from RNAcentral.
GUUCGUUCAUCUUGUAGAUCAUCCAUUGACAGCAAAUUCGUUUGUGGUCAACCAGAUGGAAAUAGUGAUCCACAAGACGCAGCUACCCAGAGCAUGGAACGGGGCCUGGG